RNAcentral lists this non-coding RNA (952 nucleotides) under Phoeniculus purpureus (green woodhoopoe). RNAcentral describes it as "partial 12S ribosomal RNA". It matches the Rfam family "Bacterial small subunit ribosomal RNA". Lineage: Eukaryota; Metazoa; Chordata; Aves; Bucerotiformes; Phoeniculidae. The record is from RNAcentral.
AAAGACUUAGUCCCAAUCCUGCAGUUGGUUUUCACCAAACACAUACAUGCAAGUAUCCGCACCCCAGUGCAAAUGCCCCCGGCAAUCUUACCAAGACAAGAGGAGCCGGCAUCAGGCUCGCCCGAGCAGCCAAAGACGCCUUGCUUAGCCACACCCCCACGGGCAUCCAGCAGUAGUUAACAUUGAGCAAUAAGCGCAAGCUCGACUCAGUUAUGGUGAACCUGGGCCGGUAAACCUUGUGCCAGCCACCGCGGCCAUACAAGGGGCCCAAAUCAACAGCCUUCGGCGUAAAGAGUGGACCUAUACCAUCCCACCAGCUGGGGUUAAAACGCAGCUAUGCCGUCAUAUGCCAGAGCCGCACAUAAAGCCCCCCUCCCCAGCCUACCAGACCGGCUAGACUCCACGAAAGCUAGGACACAAACUGGGAUUAGAUACCCCACUAUGCCCAGCCAUAAAUCCAGACGUCUUCCCCUACCAAGACGCCCGCCAGGGGAUUACGAGCGCAACCGCUUAAAACCCUAAGGACUUGGCGGUGCUUCAAACCCACCUAGAGGAGCCUGUUCUAUAAUCGAUAACCCACGAUACACCCGACCGCCCCUUGCCCAAAGCAGCCUACAUACCGCCGUCACCAGCCCCCCUUCCCUGAGAGCCCAACAACGAGCACAAUAGCCACCCGCUAACAAGACAGGUCGAGGUAUAGCCCAUGGGGCGGAAGAAAUGGGCUACAUUUUCUAACAUAGAAUACCACGAAAAUGGGCAUGAAACUGCCCCUAGAAGGCGGAUUUAGCAGUAAAGGGGGACAAUACCGCCCCCUUUAAACCGGCCCUGGAGCACGUACAUACCGCCCGUCACCCUUCUCGAAAGCCCCCCUUCCCAAUAACUAAUACACCCCCGCACCAAAGAGUAGGCAAGUCGUAACAAGGUAAGUGUACCGGAAGGUGCACUUAGCAAA